Molecule: ribosomal RNA, 253 nt
Filed under: uncultured bacterium
Lineage: Bacteria
Description: partial 16S ribosomal RNA
Rfam family: Bacterial small subunit ribosomal RNA
Source: RNAcentral
UACGGAGGGUGCAAGCGUUGUUCGGAUUUACUGGGCGUAAAGCGCGCGCAGGCGGGUGGACAAGUCGGAAGUGAAAUCCCAGGGCUCAACCCUGGGGCUGCUCCCGAAACUGUCCGCCUAGGGACUGGUAGAGGCUGGUAGAAUUCCCGGUGUAGCGGUGGAAUGCGUAGAGAUCGGGAAGAAUACCUGUGGCGAAGGCGGCCAGCUGGGCCAGGUCCGACGCUGAGGCGCGAAAGCGUGGGGAGCAAACAGG